Non-coding RNA from Heterocephalus glaber (naked mole-rat), 82 nucleotides. The record is from Rfam. NCBI's taxonomy places the organism in Eukaryota, Metazoa, Chordata, Mammalia, Rodentia, Bathyergidae.
GUGUGCGGUGCUUUUCACAAGAAGGUGUCAUUCACGUAGACUAAAAUCUGAGUGGCAUCUUUUUGAGAAGAACAAUGUACCA